GAUGAACGCUGGCGGCGUGCCUAACACAUGCAAGUCGAGCGAUGAAGUUUUCUUCGGAAAAUGGAUUAGCGGCGGACGGGUGAGUAACACGUGGGCAACCUGCCCUAUACUGCGGGAUAACCAAUAGAAAUAUUGGCUAAUACCGCAUGAGAUCCUUUUGGGACAUCCCGAGAGGAGGAAAGAUUUUUCGGUAUAGGAUGGGCUCGCGUCCCAUUAGCUAGUUGGUGGUGUAACGGACCACCAAGGCUUCGAUGGGUAGCCGACCUGAGAGGGUGAUCGGCCACACUGGAACUGAGAGACGGUCCAGACUCCUACGGGAGGCAGCAGUGGGGAAUAUUGGGCAAUGGGCGAAAGCCUGACCUAGCAACGCCGCGUGAAGGAAGAAGGUUUUCGGAUUGUAAACUUCUGUUGUAGAUGACGAAGAAUGACGGUAGUCUACGAGGAAGCCCCGGCAAACUAUGUGCCAGCAGCCGCAGUAAGAC
This 482-nucleotide ribosomal RNA is filed under the name uncultured bacterium. RNAcentral's name for it is "bacterial SSU rRNA". It matches the Rfam family "Bacterial small subunit ribosomal RNA", at positions 28 to 526 of the family's 1533-position model. The record is from RNAcentral.